Molecule: ribosomal RNA, 207 nt
Filed under: uncultured bacterium
Lineage: Bacteria
Description: partial 16S ribosomal RNA
Rfam family: Bacterial small subunit ribosomal RNA
Source: RNAcentral
UGCGUAGGUGGCGGGGUAAGUCGGAUGUGAAAGCUCGGAGCUCAACUCCGAAAUUGCAUUGGAAACUACCUUGCUCGAGGGUUGGAGGGGGGACUGGAAUGCUUGGUGUAGCAGUGAAAUGCGUAGAUAUCAAGCGGAACACCAGUGGCGAAGGCGAGUCCCUGGACAACUCCUGACACUGAGCAACGAAAGCGUAGGGAGCAAACA